RNAcentral lists this ribosomal RNA (393 nucleotides) under uncultured bacterium. RNAcentral describes it as "partial 16S ribosomal RNA". It matches the Rfam family "Bacterial small subunit ribosomal RNA", at positions 523 to 918 of the family's 1533-position model. The record is from RNAcentral.
AUACGGAGGACGCGAGCGUUAUCCGGAUUCAUUGGGUUUAAAGGGUGCGCAGGCGGCCGUGCAAGUCAGCGGUGAAAGCCCGGGGCUCAACCCCGGAAGUGCCGUUGAUACUGCAUGGCUUGAAUGCGGUCGAGGCGGGCGGAACGUGGCGGGUAGCGGGGAAAUGCGUAGAUAUGCCACAGAACGCCGAUAGCGGAGGCAGCUCGCCAGGCCUGCAUUGACGCUCGGGCACGAAAGCGUGGGGAUCGAACAGGAUUAGAUACCCUGGUAGUCCACGCCGUAAACGAUGGGCGCUCGUCGUCGGCGGCAGACAGUCGGCGGCCAAGCGAAAGCGAUAAGCGCCCCACCUGGGGAGUACGGUCGCAAGGCUGAAACUCAAAUGAAUUGACGGGG